AAAGCGUGCGCAGGCGGUUUUGUAAGACUGUCGUGAAAUCCCCGGGCUCAACCUGGGAAUGGCGAUGGUGACUGCAAUGCUAGAGUUUGGCAGAGGGGGGUAGAAUUCCACGUGUAGCAGUGAAAUGCGUAGAUAUGUGGAGGAACACCGAUGGCGAAGGCAGCCCCCUGGGUCAAAACUGACGCUCAUGCACGAAAGCGUGGGGAGCAAACAGGAUUAGAUACCCGAGU
RNAcentral lists this ribosomal RNA (230 nucleotides) under uncultured bacterium. RNAcentral describes it as "partial 16S ribosomal RNA". It matches the Rfam family "Bacterial small subunit ribosomal RNA", at positions 562 to 791 of the family's 1533-position model. The record is from RNAcentral.